GAGUUUGAUCGUGGCUCAGGAUGAACGCCGGCGGUGUGCCUAAUACAUGCAAGUCGUACGCACUGGCCCAACUGAUUGCUGGUGCUUGCACCUGAUUGACGAUGGAUCACAAGUGAGUGGCGGACGGGUGAGUAACACGUAGGCAACCUGCCCCGGAGCGAGGGAUAACCUUUGGAAACAGAUGCUAAUACCGCACAACAACAAAAGUCACAUGGCUUUUGUUUGAAAGAUGGCUUUGGCUAUCACUCUGGGAUGGGCCUGCGGUGCAUUAUCUAGUUGGUAAGGUAACGGCUUACCAAGGCGAUGAUGCAUAGCCGAGUUGAGAGACUGAUCGGCCACAAUGGAACUGAGACACGGUCCAUACUCCUACGGGAGGCAGCA
Molecule: ribosomal RNA, 381 nt
Filed under: uncultured Lactobacillus sp.
Lineage: Bacteria; Bacillati; Bacillota; Bacilli; Lactobacillales; Lactobacillaceae
Description: bacterial SSU rRNA
Rfam family: Bacterial small subunit ribosomal RNA
Source: RNAcentral